UUGUACUGCUACGCUGUUUGGCGCCAACACCUUCAGGGAUUGGAGCAGCUUUUUCCCUGGAAGAGUAUCUCUCCCCAGUGAAGCUGAAGGGCACACCAGCACAGUGCAGCUUUGGGUCAUAUUCAGUCAUCUCAGCAGAACUUCAGAAGAGCUUGACUAGGCCAAAUGUUGAAGUUAAGUUUUCAAAUAAUGUAACUUUUAAGAUAACUUAUUAAAGGGGAGGGGCACAUUUUGGCAAUUAGUCGGCAGUGGCUUAUGGUUGGGAUUGGGAGGGUUGGGUUUAGGUAAUUGUUUAGUUUAUGAUUUCAGAUAACUCAUACCAGAGAACUUAAAUACUUAGGAUGGAAAACUAAAGAACUCUCAACUUCCAAGGUGGCAAGUAACUCCCAAUUUUCUAGUUUCUGUUUUUCCCCAGUGUUUGAAUUUGACAGCUGGGGAAGUUCAUGAAGAUUGACUGGAUUUAAAGUGUAGGGCUUGGGGAAGGAAAAUGGUGGACUGGGGGUUGGUCUAGCCCACUGGGCUGCCUUAGAUUAAAAACUUGGGAAUUUUUUAAAUGCUUAAGUUGUUUGCAUAUGGUAGUGUGUGGUUCUCUUUUGGAAUUUUUUUCAGGUGGUUUAAUAAAACUUAAUACUACUGUAGGAGCUUCAGAGCAAAGGAAGUGGCUUAAUGAUCCUGAAGGGAUUUCUUCUGAUGGUAGCUUUUAUAUUAUCAAACUUUUUUCAGAUAACAUCUUCUGAGUCAUAACCAGCCUGGCAGUAUGAUGGCCUAGAUCGAGAGGGGAACAGCUCCUUGGUGAAUGAUAAGUAAAGGCAGAAAAGAUUAUAUCUCAUACCUACAUGGGGGAAAAAGCAUAACCCUGAGAUCCUUAACUACUGAUGAACACAUUGUCUGCAUAUGCCAAAAAAAAUUAAGCAAAUGAAAGCUACCAAUUUAAAGUUAAUGGAGUCUACCACUUUAAAGUUUGGCUUAUCAAGCUGUAUCCACAAAAGUAAUGAUGAGAAAUAAUGAAAUGAUGAGAAAUACAAUGAAGAUCAAAUGUCCAUCUCAAUACUGCUUUUACAAAAGCAGAAUAAAAAAGCGAAAUGAAAUGAAAAUGCUACACAUUAAUCCUGGAAUAAAAGAAGCUGAAAUCAUUGAAAUGAGUGGGAUCAAGUGGAUUGAGGAGGAGGCUGUGCUGUUUGCCAAUCUUUCGUUUGCCUCAGACAGGUUUCUCAUUAUCAGAAGAGUUGCUUCAUUUCAUCUGGGAGCAGAAAACAGCAGGCAGCUGUUAACAGAUAAGUUUAACUUGUACCUCUGCAGUAUUGCAUGAUAGGGAUAAGUGCUUACCUUUGCUAAGAGCUGUGGAGGUCUUAGGUCCCUUACCUGAGGGAUUUUCCUAUCCAGCCUUUUAAAAUGAGACAGGACUUGGUGUGCCUGUGGGCUUCCAUGAUGGGUUAGCACACUUCACUCAGAGGCUAGUAAUGCCUUAAAGCCUCUUGAGAUUAAUAAAGGUAAUGUGUAUAAUACUAAGAACAUUUGUUUAGCACUGAGUCUCUGAAAAGCCUAUUAAAGGGUAGCAUAACGUGCUGUUAACCAGAAUUCAGAUUGUUAAUCUUGCUAAAAUUUAAAUGUUAUGAUGUGUAUUGUGCAGAAAACCGUUAAAUUAUUCAAAAUAAAAUACUUUAUAGAGAAUGUAUGCUUUUAGAAAGCUGUCUCCUUAUUUAAAUAAAAUUGUUUGUCUAGUUAGUGUUGGGCAAUCUUGGGGGGAUUCUUCUCAUCUUUCAGAAACUUUGAACACUCUUUAACGGACAAGAUCAGGAGUUGAGCGGAAGAACGAAUUUAACUUAAGGCAGGAAAAACAAAUUUUAUCCUUCGUAAAAGUGAUGAGCAUUUAAUAAUUCCAGGCACAUGGCAAUAGAGGCCCUCUAAAUAAGGAAUAAAUACCUCUUAGACAGGUGGGAGAUUAUGAUCAGGAAAACAGGUAACACCUAUGCUGUUUUCAGAAAGGAGUCCAGUGGUUAAACUAGAGUAAUGAGAGAUCUUACUGUCCACAUUUCCAGUUUGCAUGUUAACCUUAAAUGCUUACAGUCGCGUUAUCUAGUGGUAGCUGGUGUUUACACUGUUGGCCUUUUAUAUAGGCACUUGGUGUGGGGGAGGGCAUGUGGGUUUUUUAAAGAAUUUUCCUUUGCAGAGGCUUCAUUUCAUCCUUCAUGAAGCUGUUCAGGAUUUUGACUUGCAUAUAAGCACUUGGCUCUGCCUUCUGCUCUACUAGUGAGUGAGACCUUGCAGUGAGUUUAUCAGCAUACUCAAUAAAUGUUUCCCCCCUGAUUUUGGAGGGAAGGGAGGAGAGGGUGGGGCUUACUUGUUUUAGUUUUUUUUUUGCAGACUACACAGAAUGCAGUUGUCUUGAUCUCAGGUCUGUCUGUUCUGUUGGCAAGUAAUGCAGUACUGUUCUGAUCCGCUGCUAUUAGAAUGCAUUGUGAAACAACUGGAGUAUGAUUAAAAGUUGUGUUUUCCCCAGUGCUUGGAAUAGUGAUUGUUGAAGGAAAAUCCAGCUGAGUAAUAAAAGGCUGAGUGUUGAGGAAAUUUCUGCAGCUUUAAGCAUUCGUGUUUGUGAUUGAAGCAAAGUCCCUUUUGCUGUGCUUUUAGGUAAAAUGCUUUUUUGUUCACUUCUGGUAAGGGGGU
Molecule: non-coding RNA, 2664 nt
Organism: Delphinapterus leucas (beluga whale)
Lineage: Eukaryota; Metazoa; Chordata; Mammalia; Artiodactyla; Monodontidae
Source: RefSeq, a predicted model, not a curated record